Molecule: unclassified non-coding RNA, 648 nt
Filed under: Bos taurus (domestic cattle)
Lineage: Eukaryota; Metazoa; Chordata; Mammalia; Artiodactyla; Bovidae
Description: hypothetical protein LOC617892
Source: RNAcentral
AUGAAACGGGGCCACGAGCCUAAGCCGGCCUUCGGUGGAGCAGGUGAGGCGGGACCAGGCGUGAUGGCAGAACGCCCCCUGGUUCCAGCCUGUCCCACGGGCCGGCCCGGACGGCUCCAGCGCCAUCUCCUGAGCGGCGAAUUCGACCAGCUGCGAGACUUCCCCAUCUUUGAGAGCAACUUCGUGCAGGUGACCCGGUUAGGAGAAGUUGCCAACAAGGUCACCAUGGGAGUGGCAGCCUCCAGUCCAGCCCUGGAACUCCCAGACCUGUUGCUUCUGGCGGGCCCUGCCAAGGAGAAUGGACACCUGCAGCUCUUCGGGCUGUUCCCCUUGCAGUUCGUCCAGCUCUUCGUCCACGACGAAAGCCGCUGGCAGCUCAAGGUCAAGUUCCGCACUGGCCGUGCCUUCUACCUGCAGCUGCGGGCCCCGCCCGAGAGCCGCGACCGCGAGUUCGGCCAGUGGGUGCGCCUGCUCUACCGCCUGCGCUUCCACUCGGCCCAGGGAGCCGUGCCUUUCACGCAGGACUACUCGGCGCUGGAGGACGACGAGGACGAUGACGAAGACGAGGACCGCGAUCUGCCAGCGGGAGAGCUUCAAGCCAUGGAAGCCAGACUUGACCCACAGAUGUCUGAACUCUGGGGACUCUGA